Molecule: ribosomal RNA, 253 nt
Filed under: uncultured bacterium
Lineage: Bacteria
Description: partial 16S ribosomal RNA
Rfam family: Bacterial small subunit ribosomal RNA
Source: RNAcentral
UACGUAGGUGACAAGCGUUGUCCGGAUUUACUGGGCGUAAAGAGCGCGCAGGCGGUCGUUCAAGUCGAGUGUGAAAGCCCCCGGCUCAACUGGGGAGGGUCACUCGAUACUGAUCGACUCGAAGGCAGGAGAGGGAAGUGGAAUUCCCGGUGUAGUGGUGAAAUGCGUGGAUAUCGGGAGGAACACCAGUGGCGAAGGCGACUUCCUGGCCUGUUCUUGACGCUGAGGCGCGAAAGCUAGGGGAGCAAACGGG